This 163-nucleotide ribosomal RNA is filed under the name uncultured bacterium. RNAcentral describes it as "partial 16S rRNA". It matches the Rfam family "Bacterial small subunit ribosomal RNA", at positions 355 to 511 of the family's 1533-position model. The record is from RNAcentral.
UAGGGAAUCUUCCGCAAUGGGCGAAAGCCUGAUGGAGCAACGCCGCGUGUGUGAUGAAGGGUUUCGGCUCGUAAACACUGUUGUAAGAGAAGAAUGACAUUGAGAGUAACUGUUCAAUGUGUGACGGUAUCUUACCAGAAAGGAACGGCUAAAUACGUGCCAC